UCAUUUAGAGGAAGGAGAAGUCGUAACAAGGUUUCCGUAGGUGAACCUGCGGAAGGAUCAUUGUCGAAACCUGCCCCGACAGGACCACCCGUGAAUCAUCGAUGCAAAAUCGUUCGAGGAGGAGCGUCGUGCGAACGACGAUCCCCCCUCCAGUCGUGCCGCGAGCCCUGCCCGGAUCGUCGGCGCGGACCCGGUCCGCGCCGCGACGCCCCGCCGUCCUCGCGGUCUCGAAUUAACAACGUAUCCCCGGCGCGAUCAGCGUCAAGGAAAUUUCACAGGACGCGCGUCUCCGUGGCCCGCCCGAUGUUGCGGUGCGUCCACGGACGGCGUCGCGAUCAUGAUAUUUGAACGACUCUCGGCAACGGAUAUCUCGGCUCUCGCAUCGAUGAAGAACGUAGCGAAAUGCGAUACUUGGUGUGAAUUGCAGAAUCCCGUGAACCAUCGAGUUUUUGAACGCAAGUUGCGCCCUAGGCCGUUAGGUCGAGGGCACGUCUGCCUGGGCGUCAAGCAUCGCGUCACCCCGACUCCGUCGUCUCACCGCGAGAUCCCCCGGAGCCGCGUGGGUGGAGAUUGGCCCCCCGUGCCUCGCGCGCGGUCGGCCCAAAAACGAGCCCUCGACGGCCGGUGUCACGAUCAGUGGUGGUUGACGUGCCUCUUUUCGAAGAUGGAUGUCGUGCCCGCCGCGUCGUCGAACGGGCCAUCCGGACCUUGUUGGUGCUCACGGAGCACUCGUCCUGCGACCCCAGGUCAGGCGGGGCCACCCGCUGAGUUUAAGCAUAUC
Molecule: unclassified non-coding RNA, 781 nt
Filed under: Akebia trifoliata subsp. australis
Lineage: Eukaryota; Viridiplantae; Streptophyta; Magnoliopsida; Ranunculales; Lardizabalaceae
Description: partial contains small subunit ribosomal RNA, internal transcribed spacer 1, 5.8S ribosomal RNA, internal transcribed spacer 2, and large subunit ribosomal RNA
Rfam family: 5.8S ribosomal RNA (bases 351-506)
Source: RNAcentral